Molecule: long non-coding RNA, 24667 nt
Filed under: Eucalyptus grandis
Lineage: Eukaryota; Viridiplantae; Streptophyta; Magnoliopsida; Myrtales; Myrtaceae
Description: long non-coding RNA (EGRA_LNC007037)
Source: RNAcentral
UUGCCUGGUCCUGACAUGACCCAAUUCCUGCAAAACGAGAACCAACAAAAGAACUCGCUUUUACCGGACUCUCGAAUCGGGCAAUCGACAACCCACUUCGCUCGGCGUUGCCUCGGAGAGCUUGUGAGGGAGAUUGAGGCCCGCGUACUCUAAGGCGACGAGCUCGGGGCUCCCCAGCCGAUUCUUCCCUUCUUGCUGCUGUUCCAGCUGGACUGCGGUGCCGCCACCGUAACACCGAAGACGGCGAGCGCAGGUUGCCGCGGCGAGGUUGGCGAUGCGAAGGAGUGGAGGUGAGGAGGCGAGAGAAGCGCGCAAGGAAGCAGAGAAGGGAAUGACGAUGGCCAUUGAUGCCGACUCAAGCUUCGACUUUCAGGCAUUCAUGGAAGCUCCUGCGGCGAAGGAAAAUGGGAACCUGCUCGAGAACACGGUCAGUCCCUCCGCUUGGAAUCCUCGGUAUCCCCAACCGGGCAUAAGUCGGCCCUGCCUAUCUGAGAGUGGGGGAUUUUAUUGUUCAUAGAAAUUUUUAGAGAAUGAAAUUUGAAUAAUUAAGUUAAUUUUAGAAAGGGAAAAUUUCUAAUAAGAGUAUAUAUAUUUUCUCAAAUAAGAGUCUCAACUGAAUUUUUUUUUUUCAAAUAAAGACAUGAAAUGCUAUUAUUUUCUCAAAUAAGAAUCUCAAAUGGACUUAUUUCAAUUAACGACCUAAAGUGGCAUAUCCAUUUCCAAGGAAUGGCCAGACAUUAUAGUUAAUUAAGGGCAUUUUUGUCAUUUAAUUUAUUUUGAAGACAAACCAAAAAAGGGAAGAAAAAAGGCUAAAAUUCGAACGUUGAAAACUCUAUAUAUAGCAUUUAGGAGCUGAGAAACAGGUUCGGAACAUUUGACUUUGAUCUAAAUCACACAUUUUCUCUCUUCCCAUUUUUGAAUUAAGCAUCAGAAGGCCAAUUCAUGUGAAAAUUGCCAAUCGAAGGGAAGCUGAAAACCUAUCCUCCUUUUUGAUUUGGGUGACUAGGGUUUGAUUCGGUGGGGGCUUUUCUUAUUAUUUGAGGGAUAAUUACCAAAAAAAGUCAUAAACUUAUUGCACAAAUUGUCAAUUUAGUUAUAAAUUUUUCAAUUUUACUAAUUAAAACCUAAAUUUUUUUGAUAAUUUGCUCAUAUAGUCAUUUUGACAAAUUUUGACCGAAGAAUUGUUAACACGAAAGUCAAUUGUCUUAUGUGGCUUAAUUGACGCUUUAAUUUUUUUAAAUUUUUCCUGGAUUUUUUUUUUUUGACAAAUAUGACAAGGGUUGCCUACAAACCCUUGCCAAUCCUAGAUGAGGGUAGCCAACCUUGCCAGUUGUGAGCUAAGGCAACCAAGCUCUUGCCUAGUGGCUAGUGACCCUCGCAAGAUUUGGUUAAAAAAAAAGAAAAGAAAGAAAGAAAAAAGCAAAAAUUUAAAAUAUAUUUUUUAAAUUAUAAAUAAAUUAUCCAUAGCUUUGACCAUGCUACAUAGAAUAUAUGAUGUUCAUGUUAGUAAUUUUCAAUCAAAGUUGAUUGGAAAAGACUAUAUUGGCAAAUGUUAAAAAAUUUAUUACUCAUUUGGUAAAAUUAAAAGAUUUUGAUUGAAUUAGGCCAUGUUUGGCAACAUGCCAAACAGUGACUGAUUUUGAUUUUUUGUUCCCAUAAUCAGUUUGGGACGAGAAUCGCGUUUGGUAAAAUUUUUGUUCCCGAGAAUAAAUUUGUUCCAAGAAUUAGUUUGGGAGUAGAUUUGAGAAUAAAAAAAAAGUUGAUUAUGCGUCUAAGAAUAAAAAAAAGAAUCAACACAAUAAAACUCUUCUUCUUUUCUUCCGCCAUCCCGCGACGGCGCCGCCGUCCGCCGCCGCCCACCACCGCCCGCCGCCGGUCGCCGGCCGCCCAGCCCCGGCGAGGCCCGCCUGUCCACCGGUGACGCUCGGCCUCGCCAGAUCUGGCGAGGUCGAGCCUCGGCGGGGCUGGGUGAGCCUCGCCGGCAGCGGGGCGAGGCUCGGCCGAUAAGGGCCAACCUCGCCGAGGGACGGCGACGCUUUGGUGAGGUCACCGACAACCAACCAUAAGAAGAAGAAGAAAAAUAGGAGAAAAAGGAAAAAAAAAUGAAAAAAGAAAAGGAAAAAAGGUAAAAAAAAAAAAAAAGGAGAAAAAAAAGUAAAAAAGUAGAAAAAAUUACUUAAAAAUAAAAAAUAAUAAUUUGGAACAGAAUCAAUGAACACGUUAUCAAACACAAUUCUAUUCCAAAAUAAGAAAUUUUAGACAGUUACAAAACACGUUCUUUUACUCAGAAUCAGUUUCCGGGAACAGAAUAAAAAAUAAUCAUUUCUUGUCAGAAUUAGUUCCCGGGAACAGAAUCGUUGCCAAACGCGCGCUUAACAUCCAUACAAUAGAUUGUGGAAUUUUUUGGAAAAUUUUCCAAAUUAGUAUCUUCUUUGGGCUAUUCUUGGUCUAGAGUUUUGUAGACUAAUUCCUUCAUUAAUUCUCUCGGUGUACAUAGUAUUUGGUGGAAACUAUCGUUCCAGAUUUUCACGAAAUUAUCACCGUUAGUGUGCGUUGGCAAGAACAAAACCACCAAGGAUGAAUUUUCUCGUGAAAAUAACUUUGGCUAUUUGGAAAAUUGGAUCAUUAUAUAUAGUUGGAUCCUAACGGUAGUCGUAGAUUUUCCCGGAAAGUUUGGACGUGGAGAUAAUUCUUCUGCUCUCUUAUCUCAUUUGUUUGGAAAUCUUGGAUAAUAUUUGAGAGGUAGAGCAACUCAUCCUAUAUAUAUAUAUAUUGGUGUUGGAUCCUACUGACUCAAACAUUAAGUAAGGAAAGAUUUUAUUAUCCUAACCUUAAGCAAUAAUGAGUAUUUCCUAUUAUACAAUCUGUUUCAUGUUAUUAUCUUUUGAAAGCUAAAUAACUUAUGUACGCACCCUUUUCUGAUAUAGUUGUCACUGGCAUAAGUUUUGGACUUAAUCCUGGACUAAUAUAUAUUUUGAUGUUACUUAUUUUACAUUAAUGUGCAACCAAUGAUCUUUUCCAUUCUCAAUAUACCUAGUAUACGUAUGACAUCCGCUUUUAACAUAUUUUAAAAAAGACUCUUCCUAUAUAUCAAUUAGUUGUACUAAUUAUGGAACUAGUCAACUCAAUUCAUAUGAAAUAUACUAUAUAUUGAGUAAAAAACUUCAAAUAAAUAAUUGUAUGAAGCGAGGACUGAUGCUAUCUAUACUAUGAAGCGAACAUUUAAGAAAAUGACCGUAGUACACUUUCAAAUUAAAGUGAUAUCUUUAUUAGUUUAAUAGCAAAAAUAAAAAUGAUAAUUGCAAGUGUUCCCUCCAAAAGAAAGAAAGAAAAAGAAACGAAAAAUUAAAAUACUAAAAAAAUAUUAAAAUAUUACAAAAAAUUAUCUACAUCAUCAUUGGCUAUGCCAAGUCAGCCGACCAGCAUCUAUGUCAGCAAAAUUUGAUCAAAAUUAGUCGGAAUGACUAAAUUUACGUCAAGUUAAAAAAUUUAAGAUUAAAUUAACACAAAAUUCAAAUGUUUAGAUCUAAAUUGACAUCAAUAAAAAGAUUUAUGACUAAAUUACGUCAGUGUAAAAUGUUUAAAACUUUUUUGAUACUUUUCUCCAUAUUUGCUAGUGACGUUUAUAGAAAAAAAUAGUUAGAUAUUGAAAGAAAAUUUUCAAAAUUCUCGAAAUCUGUUUUUUUAUCUGUCUUAUUCUAAAUUAAAUUUGCUAAACGCUGUCAGCCUAGUCUCUCUCUUCGAGGAGGUGGGGAAGGAAUCGAAUUCCCCACCUCCCAAGGUGGCCACCUUUCGGAAUAUACCGAGAGAGGGAGAGCGGACGCGUCCAAGUAACGCUUGCCGCAGAUAUGGACGUCCCAGUCACCUAUCGCAUCGACAUGGACGUCCCAUCACCUAUCGCAUCGAAUCUUCGAUUAUUUUAUUUUCGUUAUCUCCUCCUCUCCCGCGCUCUGUUCAUCCAAUCAGAGCAGCAACGCACGACGCCAUUCUCGUCUCCCCGACCACUACGUACGAUCUCUCUCUCUCUCUCUCUCUCUCUGCGCCAUUGGGAUUGACAUGGUUCUUCUCACCUGAUUUUGUACUUGGGAGUACUUGUGGUAUUCCUCUGUCGUGUUUUCUUUUUUCUUUCCUGAGUUUGAAUGGUUCGAUCAUUGAAUGUCGCUUCUCAAAAGCAUUUUCACGCGGUUGGCUUCGCUUCGCUUGCAACACUCUGGAUUGUUUUUCACUAAAGAACUCAACCUAUCAGUAGGAUGCAAGUGGUUUGCGAGAUUGCCGUUUCGGAGUACCUGCCGGCCAUGAGAGUUUUCGACAUUUUCCUACGAAAGUUGUAGAUUCUUUGUUCGUUUGUCUAUCAUAUUCAUCAUCUCAUGAUAUCUUAGACCAGGAACGAGUCCGGCUGUUCAGUCUCUGCCUUAUGUUGCCCAAGAAAUAAAUUUCUAUCUGUAGUCCUCCUGUUGAUUUAAAGAGUCUAGCCUUUGCUGAGUCAGUAGAUGAUCUUUGUCAAGCAAAUAGGUCUAAUGUCAAAACUUAUUUGACUUUCUGCGGUGUCGCUCUUGACUCAAUAUUGCUUGUGUUCGGCUGGCCUUCUUGUUACUUUCUUGGCAUCCUACUGCACCAUUUGUCAUUGAAUAAACAUGGAUUGAAUUGACGUGCACUCUGCUGACAAACAGCUUUUCUUAAGCGUUGGUGGGUACGCUGUAGGGUAACACAUGCACCACGGGUCGUAUCCUCCACAUGGAUAUCCUCCGCAGGGGUAUCCACCGGGGUAUCCACCGGGGUAUCCACAAGGUGGAUUCUCGAGCUAUGCUACUGGGUACAAUGAGGGGCAAUACAUGCACUGCGAGUCAUAUCCUCCUCAUGGAUAUCGUCCGCCGGGUGGAUAUCCUCUUGCCGGUUAUCCUCCUCCGCCUGUAGCUUAUCCACCGGCUGGGGGAUAUCCACUAGCUGCUUAUCCCUGUCCUUCAGCUUCAUAUCAUUCAGGUAUUGAUCGUAACUGCUAUUAUCAGACUAAUAAUUGUAUUAUGAGCAUCUUAGGGUAACUUGUAGCUGUUCUUUCACUUUUCCACCGUGCGGCCAGCCCUCACCGGCCAUGGUUGUGCCAGCCACCGGAAAGAGGAGAGGAAAAAAAAAAAAAAACAGAGACAAAAAAAGGAAAGGAAUAAAAGAAAUAAAAAUUAGAAAGAAAAAAUUAGAAAAUUAUUAAAAUAUUAUUUAAAAAUGUCAACGUUAGUGCUGGCAGGACACAUAAGCCAGCCGCCAUCUACAUCAACAAUAUUCGGCCAAAUUAAUUGGAAAGAUUGAAUUAACUAGAUUAAGAGACUUGGGACUAAAUUGACACAAUUGUAAUAGGUUUAGGACUUUUUCUAUACUUUCCCCUAUCACGGCUAUCUAUUUUUCUUGAUCUGGUUACCUGCGUCUUUAUAGGGCACGGUCCUGGUAAGGGAGCAAUGUUAGCUGGGGGCCUCGCUGCUGCCGCCACUGCUUAUGGGGCACACCACAUGUCUCAUGGUGCUCAUCAUCUUGGACACGGGGCUUCUUACGGCCAUGGUCAUGGAAAGUUUAAGCGCGGAAAGUAUGGAAAGGGCUGGAAACAUGGCAUGUUUGGGAAGUACAAGGGCAAGCACUUCAAAAAGUGGAAGUGAAUCAUCACGUCUGUCCUGCUGGGGGACUGUUGUUGGCUUUCGACUGUUACUCAUAUGACCGAGUGGUUCUAUUAUGAUCCAUUCGUGGGAUAUAAGUGUACUACGUUUAAGUACUGAAUAUGCUUCCUGUGUUGUGUGUAUCUAUGACUGGUUACUCUCUUUAAGGAUUUGGGUCGAGUAUUUUAACAAUGUCAAUUUGCUUACCGAUUUGAGAUAUCUGUUAAAUCGCUGUUUGAUCAGCUUAUUGUAUGAUGAAGUUUAAGAGCUUUGCUCUACUUAAUGAAAACAAUUGAAGAUGCUUUGGCUGACUUUGAUUAAAAAUUUUGGGGUAACUUUUCCUGCAAACAUCUUCAUAUCAACUGAGUUCUGGUUAAAUGUAGCUGGCAUUUGGUUUGUUCAAAAAGCCAAGGAAUUUCUAAGUCUUGAGAGGAGGAUGAAGGGUCAACAGGUCAGAGGGAGGCUGAGAAAUUGCUCAGUGGUGAUUAACUAUAAUAACGUGAUUUCAUUGAUCAAAAUGAAAAUAUAGCAAACACAUGAUUAUGACAGUAUUCUCAUUCUCUUCAUUGUUCGAUGACUGUCGGGAAACAGAAUUUCACAGGCAAUUGAAUGAUCAUGUCACUGCUUGAAUUGUCUAGUUUGCUUAAGACCUGCCCGUUGGAUGAACUCUUUUUCUACUAUCUGACUUUUCCCAGGUCUUGGGAAGUCCAUUUAUGUCUGCUGAUGAGGAAUAUGAUUGUGGCAGAAACUCUUGGGAGGCCAAUAUUCACGAGUUUAAUAUUCGAGUGAUUCUGUUUUGACAUUUUAAUCUUGGGUUGGCGCUCAUCACCUUCAUAUUCUGGCGUUCUGCAGAGAAAAUGAACAACGAAGGUGGUAAAAAUUCUGACUGUAGAGGAUGUUACACUUGUUAGAUCCUAUAGCUUGAUAAAGUAUAUUCAAACUAGAAAAAUAGAAGAGGGAAUGGCUAUGUAUUUUCUCAUACUCAUGCAACUAAGUUAAAAAGGAGUUCAAUACGCUGGUUACACAUAACACAAAUUGUUAGGAAUACGCAGCAGAAACCCAAUACCUUCACUUGGGGAGAAUGCCAAGAUGAACCUCAAGUUUAAGCCCAUUAAUAUAUCUAGUUGGGCUCACCUUCACAGGCCCAUUAAUAUAUCUAGUUGGACCCACAUUUGCUCAAAGCUUAAGCCAAUGAGUUGUGAGCCAACUAUGAUAUAUUAAUUGUUAUACACCACAUCAAUUCUCCCACAUGAAAUUUCUUUACCACUACUCACACGUACAUGUAUCCUAAUAAUCUCUUCCUCAUGUGUGAGCUUAGUGUUAGGUCUGUUUUUCCUUAAUUCAAGUAUCCUUUUGCAUCAACUUCCUUCAAGCUUGUGUUGCUACACCAUAACAUCCACCUGCAUGAAACUACAACCAUGGGCUUUGAUACUAUUUGUUAAGAAUGCACAACAGAAGCCCAAUACCUUCCUUUGGGAAGAUUGCUAAGAGAAAGCCCAAGUCCUAGUUUAUUAAUAUAUCAAAUUAAACCGAACUUCACUCAAAAGCUUAAAUUAAUAAAUUACACCACAUUAUUUUUUAGAUGUAGGAUUUCUCUAACACAGCUCACAUAUAUAUCUAACACAAAUAGAUCAUAAUACAAAUAGUUAUUGGAUUAGUAAUGUCAAUCUUUUGUUAUUUAGAUAUAUAAUAAAUGUCUUAGGAUACCCCUUAACAAAAAAAAUCCUUGGAGAUAUGUAUACGGCUUGCCAAAAGUAGCCGAAAACACGUAAGCGCAUGCACGUGUGCAGGUGGCUUGACAUGCUUGGAAAGUGAGGUAGCUACUUUUUUUUUUUUUCACUUUUUUGGGGUAAGAAGGGAGAUGUAAUAAAAGCAAUAGCUAACCAUGGUCUACAACCCUUGAUUGACCUAUUAGUUUCUCAGAUCGGCAUCCGAAAUGGCCUGCAUAUUAGGAAGCGGCGGGAGCCAGAUUUUGACUGCAAAAUCCCGAUGACUCCUUCCUUUCUUUGCCCAGGUAAUCUACCCCCGUGACAUGCAUCUCAAUCUCAACAAGCUGAAUGUUAAGAUUCCCAUUGAUGAUGACGGGUUCUGCAACCUACUGGGCAUUGGACACGUGCUUUCGGAAUCCGACUUGAUGGGAUGAUCGAAAAAGAUAGCGAUUCGGUUGCCUGAGUCGAGGUGGAUCAAUCCAUUGGUCGUGUGAACGGUUAAAUGGCCACGUAUCAUUAUAUAUCACUUUUGUCGCGGCGAAUUACCAUACGAGCCGAUACUUUGUCUUAUCUAACCCAACAAUUUUUUUUUUUUUUUGGACAACCCUUGAAAGAAGAAAACUUUAUAAACAGCCGUUUAGGAGCUGAGGAACAAGUUUGUAACAUUUGACUAUGGUCUAAAUUGCACACAAUUUCUCUCGGUCUCCAUUUUCUGAUUUAAGCAUCGGAAAGCCAAUCCAUGUGAAAAAUGCCAACUAAAGGGAAGCUAAAAACCUAUCCUCUUUUUUGAUUUUGCUUAACUUGAGUUUGAUUCGGAGAGGGCUGUUCUUACUUGGCUGAUUAGAUGGGAUAAUUAUCUAAAAAAAAAUUAAACAUAUGAUUCCGACUCAAUUUUAAAUCUUUUGAUUUUGCCUGUUGAAUAUUGAGUCAUAAGCAUUUUAAAAAUUUAUCAAUGUAACCCUUCCAAUCAAUUUUGGUGUGAAAAUGAUGACGCCAACAUUUGUAGUCCUACCUAACAUAAUUGGCACUUUGAAUUUAUUUAUAAAUUUUUUGGAUUUUUUUUCUUUUUUUUUCUUUUUUUCCCCUCACCAAAUCCAGCGACAAUUGCCGACUGACCCUUGCCGACCAUAGAUGAGGGCAACCGAGCCCUUGCUGAUUGUGUGCUAGGGCAACCAAGGCCUCGCCUAGUGGCCGGUGACCCUCGCAAGAUUUGGUUAAAAAAAAGUAAAGAAAGAAAAGCAAAAGUAAAAGAAAAAUUAAAAAUUAUAUAAACAUUUAAAAAAUAUAUUCAUAGUACCAACCAUAUCAUGUAGAAUGACUAACAUUAAUGUCAGCAAUUUUUAUCAAAAUUAGUUGGAAUAACUAUAUUAACAAAUUAUCAAUAGGUUUAUGACUUAAUUAAUAAAAAUGAAAAGUUUAAAACUGAAUUGACAGUCGUAUAAUAGGCUUUGGACUUUUUUGGUAAUUUUCCCACAUUAGUGUUUCUUCUUUGAGCUUUUCUUGGUUUAGGGCUAUGUCAUGUAAUUCCUUCAUUUGUUCUUUCUGUGUCACGGUUUUUGGUGGAAACUAUAAUUCCAGAUUUUCAUAAAAUUAUCACUGUCCGUAUGUAUUGGCAAGAACAAAAUGAGUAAGGAUGAAUUUUCUUGUGAACAUAGCUUUGGCGGUGUGGAAAAUUGGAUCAUAUUAUACACAUGAUGAUAGUGGUAGAUUUUCCUGGAACGUUUGGACGUGGAGAUUAUUAUUCUGCUCUUUUAUCCACUCUGUCAUCAUUGGUUUGAAAUUUUGGAUACCACAUAUAUGAGAGGAAGUGCAACUCAUCUUAUAUCUUUACUUCUUCUCUUUUUUUUUGUUAAUUUAUGGUUUUUUAUUAGUCUGACAGGAUUCUAUUUACUCAAACAUCAAUUAAGGGAAGAUUUUAUUAUACUAACCUUAAGCAAUAAUGAGUUUUUCCUUCUAUAUAAUUUGUUUCGUGUUCUUAUCUUUUAAAAAUUAAACAAUUGAAGUACGAGCUCCUUUUCUUAUAUAGUUGUCACUGAUAUGAGUUUUGGGCUUAACCCUUGACUAUUAUAUAUUUUGAUGUUAACUUACUUAUCUUACGUUAGUGUGCAACCGAUACCCUUUUCCAUUCUCUAUAAACCUAAUAUAAUACGACAUGCUCUUAAUAUAAAUUAUAAUAAAUAUAUCAAUUCAUACAACUGUUCCUAUAUCUCAAUCAGUUGGUAGUAAUUAUGAAACUAGUCUACACGGUUCAUUAUAAAUUAUACCAUAUCUCGAAUAAAUAAAUAAUGGUAUGAAGCGAAGACCAAUGUCAUCUAUACUACCCCACCAAGCCAACGUUUAAGAAAAUGACCAUAAUAUACUUUCAAUAAAUUAAAGUGAUAUAUCUUUAUUAGUUUUGUAGCAAAAAGAAAUAUCAUAACAACCUCAAGCAGAUCCUCCUUCCUUGACCUUCAUCCUCGACCAACUGCACCAUCUUUGCUACAACUCCAUUGUGAAUGCUCCAAGAUUUGAGGGUAUUUUUACUUUGGGAAAAAGCCACAAAAAAUCCCCAACUUUGCUUGGAGUGACAGAUUUAUCCCAAACUUUAUUUUGUGACGUGAUAAACCUCGAAAUUUGCUAACUGUGACACAUUUACCCCAAACUUUUAUUUGUGACACAAAAAAUCUUGAACUUUCAUUUGCGUGACACAUUUACCCUAAAUCAUAGGGGCAUUUUGGUCUUUUUACUUUUAAAAACUUUUUUCUUUUUUUUGUUCUUUUUUUCUUCUUCUUCUUCCUUCCCUCUACCGGCCAUGGUGGAGUUGGCGGAGGGAAGCCGGCAUCCGGCGAGGGCCACCCUCGCCGACGUCCAGCGAGGGCCUCCCUCCCCAGAUCUGGCGAGGGCACCCUCACCUGACGCCAGCGAGGGCACCCCUCGCCCGACGCAGGUGAGGACGACCCUCGUCAGUGUCGGGCGAGGGCCUCCCUAGCUAGAUCUGGCGAGGGCACCCUCGCCCGACGCUGGUGAGGGCACCCUCGCCCGACGCUGGUGAGGGCACCCCUCGCCCAAGUCCGAUGAGGGCACCCCUCGCCAGGCCCUCACCUGGCGCAGGCGAGGACGACCCUCGUCGGUGUCAGAUGAGGGCCUCCCUAGCGAGGGCACCCUCGCUCGACGUUGGCGAGAGCACCCCUCGCCAGGCCCUCGCCGGCGUUGGGCACCCCUCCCCAGGCCCUCGCCAGAUCUGGCGAGGGCACCCCUCGCCCGAUGCCAGUGAGGGCCGCCCUAGCUAGCCCAGGCGAGGGCGACCCUCGCCCAACACAGGUGAGGGCAGCCCUCGCUGGACGCCGGCUUCCCUCCGCCGGCUCCGCCAUGGCCGGCAGAGGGAAGAGAGAAGAAGAAAAAAAAGAAAAAAGAAAAAGAAAAAAACAUAAAGAAUAAGACGAAAAUACCCUUAAUGGGGUAAAUGUGUCACAGUUAGCAAACUUCGGGGUUUUUCACGUCACAAAACAAAGUUUGGGGUAAAUCUGUCAUUCCAAGCAAUGUUGGUGGUUUUUGGUGGCUUUUUCCCUUUUACUUUUGACUUGACUUUAUCCUACGCUCAAACCACUCCAGCAUUUCAUGCUCCAGUUUACGAAUAGACAUAAUCGAUAAGGAGAAAUAUUUACGCUCCAGUACUUAUAUGUUAUAUAUCUCUUUAUUUUGGUACUUCCUUUGAUUCUUGCAACUCUUCUUUUUUUGAUUCUCAAUUUCUUUUUUGCAAUCUGUUUUGGUUGAUUUUUAUUUAAGAGGAAGAGAACGCUAAAUGUAACUUAUAUACUUUCUUUCUUCAACAGAUAUUCGUUUUCUUUUAAUUAAUGCAACGGAAAUGUUUGUUUAUGUACUAGGGUGAUAUGCUUUCAAUUUUCUUAAUAUGAAAGAAAUAAGUAAGGAACUGCUCUUUUAAUCAGUUGUAGAAUAUUGAUUUUUUUUCAAUUUUUUUUUUUUUAAAAGAAACAAAUUAGUAACUGCUUUUAAGAGUUUAUGGCCCUCAGGUUUUGACUCUUCAUCAGGUUUUGACUCUUCAUAUAACCGAUGGGCAUUUAUAAGAUAAACCUUUUCAAGCCAAUCUAAGUCUUAAUAUCAAGUGCGUUAGGAAGAAAUAUCGACAAGAUAAACCUUUUCAAGCCAAUCUAAGUCUUAAUAUCGAGUGCGUUAGGAAGAAAUAUCGACAAAAUCAUCUGUGGCUCAUUCCAUCAUAUCACACACGCAUACAAGAGAGAGAGAGAUGGAAAAUGUUCUCACUCUUUUUGAUCUAAUAGAACAAAACCGAUUCUCAAAAUAUGAUUGUUAAUAGCAACGAGUCCGAAGAAAAAUAUUAGGAAUGUUGUAGUCACAUAAAGAAUUGUUGCACGUCAAGAAAGUACCAAUCAAAGAGAAUUUUUUAGCCAAUUUGAUAAUGACUGGGUGAAAAGAGAGAAAAAAUUAGAUGUGACUUUCAUAUGACUUUUUCCUGGACAAAGAAUAGACAAUGAGAAGUGGUAUUGUUCAUCGACUCUCUCUAGGGGGGCGAUCCGGGUACUGUUCAUCGUCUCUGGGGUGCACUUGGCCCAGGAGCUACAGGUGUCCAUUUGCUCCAAUUUUUAGAGGGAUUCCUCCUAACCCACCAACCUUGCACCUCACCGAACGGAUCGGCUUGAAUCUUCUGCUUGGCAGACCAGCUCGCCCUUUCGAGUGCUGUCUGCUGAAUCACGAGGGUUGGUUGUUGCGGGCCUGCUCGAGCGAUUCCUGGGGUGAAGCUUCGGCCUAAAGGUGGGGGUAGGAGUCAACCACCAUCCUCUUCCCUAUUGGGUGGCCUGGUAUGGAGUCUUCCCUCUCGGCUGCACCAUAGAAGAUAGUGAGGCUGCUUCUGCUUGCUGGUGUUAUGGCGUCUUCUUCGUUUGAGAAGGCCGUUGGCUCUAGUAGUAGGAAGGGCCCCAACUCUUCUCCUCUCAAUGCUGUAGACCACUUGGAUGGAAAGACUCAAGUUCCCCGAUCAGGGGGGGAAUGCACCAAAGGGUGUGAGAGCCAAGGGUGGUCACUCCUCUAGACCUCCUCGGGCUGAUAGGUCAAGGGAUAGGAGUUGGUUAAGGGCCCCUUCCAAUUGGGCCCCAAGCAAGCUUGAUUGGCCCUCCAAGCCACCCCAAUCCCGAUCAUGGGCCAAUGUUGCUUGGUUGGCAGCAAAGGGCUUUGAGCUCCCUUAUGUACAGGCGACUCUUAUAGAUGGGAAACUGGUUAUCAAUUUGAUGAAGGAGGUCCUCCAGGCUGCGGAUCCUAAAUGGAACGAAUUCCUAGUUGGAUUCUUUGUUGGGAAAAGGCUCCCAUUUCAGCUUAUAGAGCAAACCUUAAAGAAGACUUGGGGUCUGAGGUUGGUUGAUGUGCUAGCUGAUGACCAAGGCUUCUAUUUGUCGUGACCUUCCCGAGGGUGAAUUACUUAAAGAAGGCUAAUGGGUUACUAAGUUCGAAGACUUGGCACGGACCCUCCCAAGUCCUAUCAAUCGCGACUUGAUGUUAAGAAAUUAAUAUAUUUAAAUAUGCAAUUAUAUUUAAUUUGGAGCCGCCACUAACCAAUUAGGGUUGGUUAGAAACCCAAGUAAAGUAUGGGAGAAUACUUUAUUUUUGCGAACCAGAGAUUCAGUAGGUCCGGGGACAUAGUUACGCUAGAUUAGUCUAACGCCAUUUCGGUACCUUUUUAUUUUAAUUUUAAAAAUAUUUUGCAGGCAAUGUUGAUUAAUUUAAACUUAAGCUACUAACAUGCAAAUGGUCAUGUGGGUGCACAAUCAAUAAAAUAACAUUCAAUAAAAAAAUGCUAAUAAAAAUGCAUGCCCUAAACAUAAUUUCUAAAUGACAUGACACUAAUUUUUCUUUUUCUUUUUGAAAAUGUUAAUUAUAUGCAAUCUUAAUUUAAAUUUGAUAUGCAUGAGUUUUACUUUAAUGACAUAUGAGAUGCAAUUCAUGUGACAUAAUUUAAAUCAUUACAAUAUGUGUGCUAUCUAAUUUGCAUGUGCUAUAUGAUGUGGGAUGAAUGACAUAAUAAUUCUAUAUGCAUGUAUGACAUUUUUUGUUCCUCUUUUGUUUUACUAAAUGAAAAUUGACUUAAUCUAAAAAUAUCUAGGUGUGCUGCUUUAAUAUGAAAUGUGUAUGGACCUAAGUACCUAAGUUCUAGAUAUGACCAUAUUUUACUAAUAAACAAAUUCUAAUUAAACCUAUUAUGCAAAUUAAUUAAUAUGUACCUAAUAUUUUUUGAUUCUUUUUAUUGAAAUUUGGAAUUAAUAACCAAUUAGACUAACUAAAGUGAAUGAUAUUCUAAUUUACUAACCCUAAAAAUACAGUCCUAAUUUACUAAACCUAAAUGCUCUAAUGCAAUAUUUAGAUUUUUAUGUACUUUUUGAUUUUUUUGAUUUUUUUUAAUCUUUUCAAACAAGUAAUUAUUUUAAAAGAAUGAAGAUAAGAAUUAAAAUAACCGAAAAAAUAAUCUGUUAUCUCACAGAUUAAAUUAACAAUUAUUUUAACUCUAUAAUGAUUUAACAAUUGAAAUACUAUCAAAAUUCCUAAAAAUUAAAGUAAUUAAAAAAAUGACCCGACGUCUUACGGGUCAAAUUAAUAAUUAUCAUAAUUUUGGAUAAAACCCCUUAAUGUCUACAAGGUCUACAAAUAUUGACAUACAUACUACAUUCAAUAAUUAAACUUAAAAAUAAGCUAACAUAACAUGAAAUAAGUACACAAUAACACUAUACUACCUAAGGCUUGGAAAAUGGAAGCAGCAACCGUGGUUCAGUGAUGGGUCGUGGUGGCUGGAGUAGGGAGCGUCGGGCACCGGGUCGAGUAGGGGUGACGCGGCGUCGGGGCAAGGCGUCGCGGAUGAGGCGUGUCGACUGGCUCGAAGGCGGAUGCUGCAGGGGUGUCGGAUCCGGCUGCAGUGGUGCUGGGCUGACGGGGGCGGGUCGCAACGCUGCAAAUCGUGGACUUCGGGGCACGGCUAAGGUAGAGCAGCAGAAACAGGGGAUGGCGUCGGUGGUUGCACGUGGACCUGUAGCGUCGGGGUCAUCGUGGGCGAUGGUGUCAAGGCUCGGUGGUGACACGGGUCGGCUGCGGUGGUGCGGACCAGGGGCGUCGAGCCGGUGGUGGCUCCGAACGGAUUCGUAGGCGGCGUUGGAUGGCGGUACGGCAAAGCAGCGUCAAUCGCUCGGGUGUGCAGCAAAUGGACCACCAGUGGUGUCGAUGGGGUUGAAGAAACGUCGGUCGGGUUGGCGCGGUGGCGGUGUGAGCACGGCGGUAUGUACGCGGUGGAUGGCACAGGCACUUGCAGACGAGGCCGGCAAUGGGCUGCUCCACGGACGAAGAUGAACAGGGGCCCCUUUUCUUCCUUUUAUAUUAUUUUUUUUGCUGAAGCCCCUCACAUCUUCUCUCGCACGUCACUUCUUCUCUGUCUUCUUCUGCAAAUGCUGCUCCACUGCUUUUCUUUUUUGACUUUUUCUCUUCUUUGUGUUUCUUCCUCUUCUCUCUCCUUUUUUUGACUUUUCUCUUCCUUUUUAAACUUUCGAUGGCCCCUCAGAGAACUCUCCUUCCCUUCUGACUUUUCUUCGACGAAGACAGAGAGGCCCCCUUUUUACCGAAGCUUUGUAUUCUCUAUUUAUAGAGGAAACACUCGAAUUUGUUUUUGCAGGUGAAGAUUUGCACAUAUUUGCUCAACCGUUCAACAAAAUAGUGGCUCCAAAAUCAUGAGUUUUUGAAUUCAAAAUGAGGAGAUUUGUUCAACAAUCAAAUGUUUUAUUAUUCAAAAGAAAUAUUCAAAAUUUCCAUCCAGAACCAAAUGCUCUAUUUUUAAUUUCUAAAAAAAAACUAAAUUUAAAUUAGGUGUCAACACUAUUAUUUUCAUAUUCCGGACCCGCUCGUUCGCAGGAAAAUUCUAGAAGAGGGUCCUCUCACUGUUGCUAGAGUUCCGCUUUUCUUAGAACAAUGGAAGCCAUUAAUGGUAUUGAAGAAGGACAAACAGUCCGCUAUCUCGGUUUGGGUAAGGCUCAAGAACUUGCCCCUUGACCUUUGGUUCGCAUCAGCCAUUGGUACUAUUGCUAGCUCUAUGGGGAAACCCUUUUUUGUGGAUCAACGCACCGAGGAGAAAAUGAUGAUCUCUUUUGCUCGUGUAUGUGUUGAGAUUCAAGCAAACCAACCUAGGGUCUCUUCGGUGGAAGUAAAUGUCGAUGGUGUUCCUAGGGUCAUUGCAAUUGAAUUUGAAUGGAAGCCAGUGGAGUGCCAAAAGUGUGGAGUUUUUGGGCACAAGUGUGCUACCCUUGCCCCUGCUCGAUCCCCUUCGUCCCCGAAGAAUCAUCACCAUGCCCCUCCUGCUUUGGAGAUGGCCUGACCUUCCGCCUCUGACCCGGCAGCGCCUGGUGCCCUUGACCAGGGCUGGAAAAAGGUUAUAAGCAAGAAGAAGAAGACCGUACCUCCGCUUCUUGAUACCUCAUCCGCCCCGGAUUGAUGAUGGGAGGUCCUUGAAGCUGAAGACAAUAGCGGUUGAGAAGAGAAUGCCUAUUUCCUACUCUUGAAAGGGCCAUAGAGGCCAGUUGAUCAUAUUUGAGCCGAAUGAAGAUGCACCUUCUUUGGACGGUGAUGACCUUCUAUCAGAGCAUGAUGUUCCUACUUUGGAUGGUUCGGGUGAAGGGGCCAAGGCCUCCGACCUCAUCUCUUCCUCGGAUGAUGACAUCCUUUCUCCUUGCACCUCUCCGAAGAAGGCUGAGGAUAGGAAGCUUGCCCUUGCUAUAGACCCACCCCCUUCCUUAAUGCAAGACCAGCCGCUUGCCUUAGCUCCGAAUCCCACUUCGGAGGCACGGCCCCCUCCGCCUGUUACUAGGCAAAGCUCCUCUAAAAAGAGGUAAUCCCUCUCCUGUCUCCUUGUAAAUAUGUAUAUAGGGUGUUGAAAUUCUAGAGGGCUUGUUGCCCCCUCUUAAAUAAGCGAAAGUGAGGAACUUUAUUUUGACGAACCGAUUAUCCUUGGUCAGGCUAGUAGAGACUAGAGUUCCUCAUCAUCUCUUUAAUGCUAUUACUAGCAAGUUAAUGGUGAACUAGUGCUGGCACACCAACUCGGAGUUCUUUGAUAGAGGUAGGAUUUGGAUAGGCUGGGAUCCUGCCGCGGUUUCUUUGGAGCCUCUUUCAAUCUUGAAUCAGGCGUUUCGUGGGAAAGUUCGUUGGUUGGAUUAUGGUGCAACUUGUGUUGUCUCUAUCACUUAUGUCAAGCAUUCUUUUACGUCUCGGCGUCCGUUGUGGGAGGACCUGGUGAUGAGGAGCUCUUCUCUUCAGGAUGUGCUUUGAAUUGUCAUGGGAGACUUUAAUGCGAUUAAGGAUCCCUCGGAUAGGGUGGGUGGCUCUGACCUUUGGUUGCCAUCCUUUGAUGAGUUUUGGCAGUAUCUUGAUCAGGCGGAGCUAGAGGACCUUAGGUAUGUGGGUUUCCGAUUCACUUGGUCCAUUUCUUCAUCUCUUUAAUGCUAUUACUAGCAAGUUAAUGGUGAACUAGUGCUGGCACACCAACUCGGAGUUCUUUGAUAGAGGUAGGAUUUGGAUAGGCUGGGAUCCUGCCGCGGUUUCUUUGGAGCCUCUUUCAAUCUUGAAUCAGGCGUUUCGUGGGAAAGUUCGUUGGUUGGAUUAUGGUGCAACUUGUGUUGUCUCUAUCACUUAUGUCAAGCAUUCUUUUACGUCUCGGCGUCCGUUGUGGGAGGACCUGGUGAUGAGGAGCUCUUCUCUUCAGGAUGUGCUUUGAAUUGUCAUGGGAGACUUUAAUGCGAUUAAGGAUCCCUCGGAUAGGGUGGGUGGCUCUGACCUUUGGUUGCCAUCCUUUGACGAGUUUUGGCAGUAUCUUGAUCAGGCGGAGCUAGAGGACCUUAGGUAUGUGGGUUUCCGAUUCACUUGGUCCAUUUCUUCAAGUCCCACACACAAGAUGAGGAAGAUCGAUAGAGUUUUGGUGAACUUGUGCUGGAACUAGGCGUUCUCCUACUCAGAGGCUUCCUUUCUCGCUCCUGGGAUUUCAGAUCAUUCACCUAUGCUGGUCAAGGUGGAGAAUCCGAUUCUUCAGAAAAGGCCGUUUAAGUUCUUUGAGUUUUGGAUGUAGCACCCGAACUUUGAUUCAAUCGUGAAACAGGUGUGGGAGACUCUAGUGUUGGGGGUGACCAUUUUUUUGCUUGUGUGUAAAUUGAAGGCCCUCAAAGGUCGUCUUAAGCAGUUGAAUAAGGAGUCAUUUGCCAACAUCUCUCUUAGAACGUCCGAUGCGAGAGAAGCCUUAAAGCAGACUCAAGUGGACCUACUUCAAGAUCCUACUAGUGUAGUUCUUGCGGACUUGGAAAGGGUUCAAUGCCGAGCCCUUUUAGAACUUCGAUCCCAGGAGAAGUCAUUCUUCAGGCAGAAAGCUCGUAUUAGAUGGCUCAAGGAGGGUGAUUGAAAUACCAAGUUCUUUCACCAUUAUGCUAGUAAAAGACAACUGAGGAAUAGAAUUCUCUUGGUGGUGGAUGACUCAGGUAGCCAAAUCACUGACCUUCAUUUGGUCCAGCAGCAUUUUGUGGAAUUCUUUCGCGACCUUCUCUCACUCGAGUGGAUCAAAUUACCCCAGCAGUGNNNNNNNNNNNNNNNNNNNNNNNNNNNNNNNNNNNNNNNNNNNNNNNNNNNNNNNNNNNNNNNNNNNNNNNNNNNNNNNNNNNNNNNNNNNNNNNNNNNNNNNNNNNNNNNNNNNNNNNNNNNNNNNNNNNNNNNNNNNNNNNNNNNNNNNNNNNNNNNNNNNNNNNNNNNNNNNNNNNNNNNNNNNNNNNNNNNNNNNNNNNNNNNNNNNNNNNNNNNNNNNNNNNNNNNNNNNNNNNNNNNNNNNNNNNNNNNNNNNNNNNNNNNNNNNNNNNNNNNNNNNNNNNNNNNNNNNNNNNNNNNNNNNNNNNNNNNUCAUCAAAUUUAAUCUGCUCCCCAGACCGAUUAUGGUGGGCGAAUACGGUAUACAAGAUCAUUGCCAAAGUGUUGGCGAGCAGGGUGCCUACCGUGCUUAAAGAUCUGGUGAGCCCUUACCAAAGUGCAUUCGUUAAGGGGCGGCGAAUCAGAGACAAUAUCCUCUUGGCACAGGAACUUUUCGAUGGUUUUCAUGUGGAGUCUCGUACCCCAAAGUGUGCUAUUAAGGUUGAUUUCAGGAAGGCGUAUGAUACCGUGAAUUGGCAAUUCCUUGAGAAUACUCUACUUCCCUUAGGUUUCCUAAUCGGUUGGUUCAACUCAUAAUGACUUGUGUCAGGACGCGUCGGUUUUCCAUUGCGCUGAAUGGAGAACUUCAUGGCUUAUUUCUUAGUGGGCGGGGCCUUCGUCAGGGGGAUCCCGUAUCUCCUUACUUGUCCACGCUGGUGAUGGAGGUGCUUUCUGGGGUUUUGGAGAGGUGCUUGCUACAGUUUGAGUUCAGAUUCUUCUGGAGGUGUAAGCCUAUUACCCUUUCACACCUUUUCUUUGCAAAUGAUGUAUUUCUUUUUUGUGAGGGCCACAUGCUUUCGAUCAAGCUUCUUAAGGAGGGUUUGUAGCAGUUUUCGGGUUGGAGUGACAUCCUCCCAAAUUCAAGAAAAAGCGAAGUAUUCUUCUCUGGUGGCCUUCCGUCUCUUCGAGACCAUAUCUUGAAUGAGCUUGGCUUCCAGGAGGGUUCACUUCCAGUUCGGUACUGAGGUGUUCCAAUUAUCAUUUCAAGGCUUAGGAAAGUGGAUUGUGCCAUUCUGGUUAGGCAUAUAACAUCCAGAGUGCAAUCCUGGACUCUACAAUUCCUAUCCUUCACUGGUCGUCUUCAACUGAUUAGGUCAGUUCUCCAUGUCAUUCAAGUCUACUGGGCUAGUGUUUUCAUUCUCCUCGCAGCAGUACUGGAUGAGAUAGAGCAGAUUCUUAGACAAUUCCUAUGGAAAGGACCUCACUUGGGGAGAGGGGGUGCCAAAGUCUCUUGGGAGAACGUCUGCCUUCCUAAGAUUGAGGGGGGCCUAGGUAUCCGGAGACUGUGCGAAUGCAAUAAAGUGGCUAUGCUUAAACACAUCUGGACCCUUUUCUCUGAUAAAGAAUCUUUAUGGUGUAGAUGGAUUUACUCGACCUUUUUAAAAAGGAGGAAUUUUUGGGUGGGAAGGAAGCCAACUUUGUGUUCUUGGGCUUGGAAGAAAAUUCUACAACUCAGGACAAAAUUCUGGCUCCGCUUCCAGGGGAGGAUAGGCAAUGGUCUCAACACUUCGCUCUGGUUUGACAAUUGGCACCCCAGGGGUCCUUUGAACUUAUCUAUAGAUCUGGUCUUUCAAGACAGACUUCUGUGGCUGACCUUUUUUCUAAGAACGGCCACACUAUAUGGUCAGUGAUUGCAACUUGGGGUUUGUCGCUCCCUUCUUUGACUGAUGUUAAAGAUCGGUUUUGUUGGAGGGAGAAUUCCAUGGGAGUGUUUUCGGUGGCCUCAGCUUGGGAGCUCAUAAGGUGAAAGAAGGAUCGAGUUAGUUGGAAUGGUUUCAUUUGGAACAAUGCCAUCCUACCUCGAUAUCAAUCUAACAUUUGGCUCAUUACCAAACGAAGGCUGCCUACUCAAUCCCAUAGGAUUGAUGAUGCAUCCUGCCCUUUCUGUGAAGAGGAGCCUGACUCUAUCGAUCACUUAUUUUUUGGAUGUCACAUUACGUCGCGUAUUGCCUUCUUUUGGGCAACUAGGUGCGGACUCCCUUGGAGUAACAAGGGAUAUGCUAACUUGGGCCACUACUUUCCUUGCGGGCAAGGAGUUUCAUAAAUGUAUUGCCCAUUUUUCCUUUGGUGCGCUUUGUCACAUCAUAUGGAAGAAUAUGAAUGAUAUCAUUUUCAAGGGUGAGCCUGUUUCUACCUCGACCAAAAAGAAGCACAUUCUCAAAGUCGUUCAAGAUAAAGCUCUCACCUACAGGAAUGUGGACGACUCCCUAGAAAUAGAGGACUACAACGGUACCGGGAGUUAGAUCCUUCCAUCUUCUCCUCUGCUAUUUGUACUCUGGCUGGUUAGGCCCUUGGUAUUUUUUGGGUGUGCCAGAGCCUUUUGUGCUAAUUUUGGUCCUAUUGCUUGCCGCUUGGCUUUUUUCUAUUGGCUUCCUUCCACUCUCUAUGAGCAUGUUCAUUGAGAGUGUAAGUGUUUUGAAGCCGAGGGUUGUAUAGUUUUCCUUCCCCUUUUAUUAUAUCUCUUACCUUACCCCAAAAAGAAAAGAAAAGAAUAGACAAUGACAUUUUCACACUUGAUACAGGUUAAAAGGAAAUGGCCUCUACUACUUACCGGGGUCUAAUCGUGGAAUGAAGGAAAAAAGGAGUAGGUCAUCACGGAAGCCAGAAUAAGACAAACCAUAAACUUCUUAGCAAGGUUGCAGUAUUUUCCCGGAGUCUGUCUCGCAAAACAUGAGGAUUAGACUUUUCUUGGCUUUUCUCGGUUUGGGGUUUUGUCAGGCACUUCAUUGAUUGGUUCUCUCUGUCUUUAAGGUUUUGUGUGAAAUUGACUUUCAUGGAAUUAUCUCUCUUUUUUUCGAGGAGUCGCAUCUUGUAAAGAACUAAAUGAGUGGGGAAGAAUCGUCAGGGAAAUUUGAAAGUGGACUUCGUUUUUGUACGCUCUUGUCCUCUCUGAUGCCUUUUGUUGUCGUCACAUAUUUUAGAGGAAAAGCCCACUUAUUAUUUUUUUCUUUUUUCGUUUUGUUUAUAUGGCUAAUGAAUUUUAUUGACUCAACCAUUAAAUGAGGGAAUAUUUUGCUGUUUACACAACAAACAUAAUUAUUCCUGUUACAAAAAGUCCACAGUGCCCUGUACAUAUUAUUACUAUUAUUAUGAUUAUUAUAAUAACUAUAAAUAUUACCCCUGCGUUACAAGGUUUUUGUUUUUAAAUCAGCAAAUUGAGAGGAGCAAAUAUUUCCAUAAUAAAAUAAUUAGAUAUUUGUAUAAAUGAAAGUUCUUUACAUAAGUGAUAUUUUUUUUUUACCACCACUAAACUUAUGUAAUUGCAAGAUUGAUGCAUUAUACUUUGGAGAAAUUAGAGGGCGUUGUAAAUAUUUGCAUCUACCCUUCCAUUUCACCACUUUCUUCAUUGUCAUUCACCAUAAACCUUGAAGAUUUUUUUUUGCAGACAAGUGUAUAACUUCACAUUAGUAUAAAAUUGAUAAAGAAAAGAUAACGACACAAGUACUUUUUGUCUAAAAAAAGCAUUUUGGCAUCCAUACUAGUAUUUCGGUUAAAUAAUGUAAUAAGAAUAGUAGUGGAUUUUAAAAAAAUAAAUUACUUAGACCAUUCAUUAGAAAAGUGCAAGGAUAACCUUGGAUUCCAAGUAAGAAUGUAAGGUCUUGAUGUAUCAAAAUUUUCAUGUUUUUGUGUGGUUUUUGUUUUUAGGUGAAAUACAAUAAACUAUUAAAUGAUACUUAUUGAUUAAUGCUGAAUGAAAAACCAUAUCAAUGUCCUUUAACUCAUUUUGGCAUCACAAGGUUUUCACAUUAUUCACGUGUGGGAAUCUUAUAUAUUUAGAUAAAUAAAUUAAAAUUAAAACUAACUUCUUUUGAAAUGAUGCAUCAAUAUAUUGCCUAUUUAAGAUGAAUUUUUUUUCUUCUUCUUCUUCUUGCCAAAUCCCAACAAUUCAACUCCAUUGCCCAUGCUAAAGGUAGUUCAACACCACAUGUUGUUGUGGUACAUUUUACCCUAAUGCAUGCAAUUGAUUCACAUUGCCAAUGUCAAAACCUUGCAAAGCAUGCAUCAAUUGAAUAUAUAUAUCACGUAGCUCAACUUUCGUGAAGGAUUUGAGUCCAAACGAUGUUCGUUUUGGAUGUGCAACCUAUUGUUUCGAAGCUCAGGAUGUCUAUUAUCUAAUCCUAAGAGGACUCGGGCUGAAAUGAGGUCGUUUCGGACCUUGUUUUGGCCAAAAUAGUAACAUAUGUACAGGCCUACGAAAAUUACAGAUUAGGCUGAAAAUCACAAUUAUCAUUCAAAUCAUCAACAAAUCAUUGCAGCAUUCAUACUCAUCAAUCUUAAGCAUGUAAAAGCUCCUAAUCUUGAAUCCUAACCUUGAUCAACUAACUCAGUCUCGCUUCAUCGGAUUCGAGUUUUGAAUCGUUACCUUCGUCACGAUUUUCGUUGGUUUCUACCGUGAUCGAUCGGAUCAAAUCGCCAUAUCAUGAUCGAGACUCCAAGAAUGUAGAUCAAGUCACUACAGCUUGGAUCGGGAUCAAUUGAACCAUCGGCUCAAGGAAAAAAAUGAAGAAUUGGUCCAAGAGAUGAACCAAGACUUAGAGAGAGAGAGAGAGAGAGAGAGAGAGAGAGAGAGGCUGAGGAGAGAGAAAAAAUUUGUGCAAAUGAAGCUCUAUGCUGAAAAUAUAAGAGAUUUCACUUAUAUACUCCAAUAUUAAGCGCUUUUGGCCAUCGGUUCGACCUUACGGCCAAAAUAUUGAUUCAAUGGUCAAAAAUCCAUUUUGAAUGCUUCAUUAUGAUCUCGAGGUAUCGAGUAAUUGAUCUAGUGGGUUUAAUUUGCAAAAAACUAAGCCAAAAUCGGGAAUUGCGUCGAAAUGUCUAAUUAUGGGUUAAUUUGCAAUUUGACGAAAUUUAAGGACUAAUUUAUAAAAUUUUGGGAAAUUGAAGAUGUAGAAGUGAAAUUGGGAUUGAGAGGGUUCCAAAACAAGUGGCCGGAGGCCAAGAACCGGUCGGCAAGGGCCUGAACCAGCUAGUCCCGCCGGCAGCUGGUCAGACCAGCCAGACCGGUUCGGUGCGGUUCGGCCGUAUUUUGACUUAUUCUUAACCAGUUUGGUCUGGUUCCUGCUAUUUUGUUCACUUGAGAUCCCUAUGGGUUAAAAAUUUAUGCAAUUUGACCCCUAAAGGACCUAAUUGAAAAGGAAUUUUAUCAUUUUUAUGAAGAAAUUGACCAAUUAAGGUACAAUUAAGAUAAUCAAACCUUAUGAACAUGACUUAGGGGUCUUUUAUUGAUCUAAUUGAAUGAUUAUCGUGAAAAAAAAAUGAGUCGAAACCAUGGGUGCUUUGAAUUGGGCCUAAAGAGCUAAAAUGGUAAAAUUUUCAAUUCAAUGGGCAAAAUUACAAAUUAACUAAAAUUGAACUUAAUUAGUAUCACAAUUGCCCUAUCUAAUGAGCUACCCAUAUGUAAGAUCACUUAAAACAUAUUGAAUGAUUUGAUCGGAAAUUUGGAGAAUUUCAAUAUCCAAAUACAGCAAUUGAUUCUUUCUUAUAAUUGAUUCUCUUCAUGUAUAAAAGGUUCUGUUUCUACCAUCAGGAGCCAAGAUUUUCUCAUUGCAAAGAAAUUAUGCAGUCACAUGAGAAAUAGAUAUAAAUGUUGGAUCCUCAAAAGCAUGAUCCAACUAGAGCAGUUCCAUUGACAGAAAGAGAAUGGAAAUUGAAUUGAGUAAGCGUCACACCACAAACAUAAAAGAGAGAAGAUGACAUUGCACCAAUAAUAGUCCUGAAAGCUAUGGCUUCCAAAAUAUAACAUUUUAAAGAAAUGAAUGUCUGCUAAUCUGCCAGUGCUUUAUAACCGUGCAGGUGCACACGUCAGUAUGAUUCAACAGCAGUGGACUGGAGCAUUAUGCUAAUGCAAAGUCAACCAGAAAAACUUGAAGGCCUAUGGUCUAUUUGCCUACCGCAACAGAAAUUCGCAAAUCUCCGGAGUUGUCAUUCAGCCGAGGAUUCAAAUACAGUCAAUAUCCAGAAAUACAGAGGACUAUCCAACCUCCAAUUACAAUGAAUGCAAACAGAAGUUUACAGGAUGGCAAAAACUAUCCUAAUACCAAGGUGGCCUCACCACACCCAAUGUCCACCAUCAAAGGCAAGGUCGGGUCCUCCAAGACCUCGUCCCAGUUCGGCGCUUGCGCAGGCAUCUGUCAUCACCGAACCAGAAUCAGACAAAGCGCUAACGCAGGACCCGAAUGGAAAACAAGGAAGAAUUUUUAACGCGUACCGAGAAGGAAGAACUGAGAGGAUUGACAUGUUGCCUGGUCCUGACAUGACCCAAUUCCUGCAAAACGAGAACCAACAAAAGAACUCGCUUUUACCGUACUCUCGAAUCGGGCAAUCGACAACCCACUUCGCUCGGCGUUACCUCGGAGAGCUUGUGAGGGAGAUUGAGGUCCGCGUACUCUAAGGCGAUGAGGUCGGGGCUCCGCAGCCCAUUCUUCCCUUCUUGCUGCCGUUGCAGCUGGACUGCGGUGCCACUACCGUAACACCAAAGACGGCGACCGCAGGUUGCCGCGGCGAGGUUGGCGAUGUGAAGGAAUGGAGGUGAAGAAGCGAGAGGAGCGCGCAAGGAAGCAGAGAAGGGGAUGACGAUGGCCAUUGAUGCCGACUCAAGCUUCGACUUUCAGGCAUUCAUGGAAG